GACGAACGCUGGCGGCGUGCUUAACACAUGCAAGUCGAACGGAAAGGCCCUGCUUUUGUGGGGUGCUCGAGUGGCGAACGGGUGAGUAACACGUGAGUAACCUGCCCUUGACUUUGGGAUAACUUCAGGAAACUGGGGCUAAUACCGGAUAGGAGCUCCUGCUGCAUGGUGGGGGUUGGAAAGUUUCGGCGGUUGGGGAUGGACUCGCGGCUUAUCAGCUUGUUGGUGGGGUAGUGGCUUACCAAGGCUUUGACGGGUAGCCGGCCUGAGAGGGUGACCGGCCACAUUGGGACUUAGAUACGGCCCAGACGCCUACGGGGGGCAGCAGGCGUGAAUAUUGCACAAUGGGCGGAAGCCUGAUGCAGCGACGCCGCGUGCGGGAAGACGGCCUUCGGGUUGUAAACCGCUUUCGCCUGUGACGAAGCGUGAGUGACGGUAAUUGGUAAAGAAGCACCGGCUAACUACGUG
RNAcentral lists this ribosomal RNA (468 nucleotides) under uncultured bacterium. RNAcentral's name for it is "partial 16S ribosomal RNA". It matches the Rfam family "Bacterial small subunit ribosomal RNA", at positions 28 to 507 of the family's 1533-position model. The record is from RNAcentral.